UAUAGCAAUCGCCGGUUGAUGGAGAAACCAGAGCAUUUCGAUGAUUACGGUGAUUUAGAGGAAUACCUAUACAUUAAAAGCUUGAAUCUUAGUUGCCCUUAUAUCCAUUUUAAUGGACCAUCAACCAAGAAGCCAGCCGAUAUUGUCGCCGACGAUGACGGUACGACCGACGACGGGAAACCACCACCGCAUGUACUAAGACAGCAACACGUUGCAGACACAAACAUAAAGUGUUUUCUUUGUCAAAGCCUCACUCAAACCGCCGGGGAGCACCAAAUAAGGUAUUCAUUUGUUGUCUUUCUCACGUAUAAGCUUCCUACAAAACUAUUUCUACGUCCAAACAUUUACUUUCAAACACAAUGAAUUAUGUGUAUACCCAUGUGGCCUCGUCUUUGGUUAUUCAUGCAUCAAUGGCGCACUCACGACGGGGAACGAGGUAGGUCAAUAUAGAUGAAAUGUGUAAACACUUACGAAACUUUCUCAAUUAUGAAUCUGUAAAUUAUUUCAAUGUUCUCACUUGACAAACUUUCUUACAGACCUGCCCGGGUUGUGGGCAACAACACGUGGGGUGGGAGGUAACUAAACUUGACAUUUCCCCUGAUCAGAUUAUAAAAUAAGUACGUCCGAAUCCAUGUACAUGCAUACCGUACACAAU
This 655-nucleotide long non-coding RNA is filed under the name Salvia miltiorrhiza (redroot sage). Its description in RNAcentral is "long non-coding RNA (SMIL_LNC005072)". Lineage: Eukaryota; Viridiplantae; Streptophyta; Magnoliopsida; Lamiales; Lamiaceae. The record is from RNAcentral.